AAACCAACAGGGACUGCCCCAGUAGCGGCGAGUGAAGCGGCAAGAGCUCAGAUUUGAAAUCGUGCUAAUUUUUUUGGCACGAGUUGUAGAGUGUAGGCGGGAGUCUUUGUGGAGCACGGUGUCCAAGUCCCUUGGAACAGGGCGCCUGAGAGGGUGAGAGCCCCGUGGGGUGCCGUGCGAAGCUCUGAGGCCCUGCUGACGAGUCGAGUUGUUUGGGAAUGCAGCUCCAAGUGGGUGGUAAAUUCCAUCUAAGGCUAAAUACUGGCGAGAGACCGAUAGCGAACAAGUACUGUGAAGGAAAGAUGAAAAGCACUUUGAAAAGAGAGUGAAACAGCACGUGAAAUUGUUGAAAGGGAAGGGUAUUGGGCCCGACAUGGGGAGUGCGCACCGCUGUCUCUUGUAGGCGGCGCUCUGGGCGCUCUCUGGGCCAGCAUCGGUUCUUGCUGCGGGAGAAUGGGUGCCGGAAAGUGGCUCUUCGGAGUGUUAUAGCCGGCGCCAGAUACCGCGUGCGGGGACCGAGGACUGCGGCUUC
RNAcentral lists this ribosomal RNA (532 nucleotides) under Pichia membranifaciens. RNAcentral's name for it is "LSU rRNA". It matches the Rfam family "Eukaryotic large subunit ribosomal RNA", at positions 62 to 604 of the family's 3401-position model. The record is from RNAcentral. Lineage: Eukaryota; Fungi; Ascomycota; Pichiomycetes; Pichiales; Pichiaceae.